Molecule: ribosomal RNA, 478 nt
Filed under: uncultured bacterium
Lineage: Bacteria
Description: partial 16S ribosomal RNA
Rfam family: Bacterial small subunit ribosomal RNA
Source: RNAcentral
GAUGAACGCUGGCGGCGUGCUUAACACAUGCAAGUCGAACGAGAAGUGAAGACGGAAACCUUCGGGCGGAAGGCUUUAUUUCGAGUGGCGGACGGGUGAGUAACGCGUGGGUAACCUGCCUCAUACAGGGGGAUAACAGUUGGAAACGACUGUUAAUACCGCAUAAGACCACAGCACCGCAUGGUGCGGGGGUAAAAACUCCGGUGGUAUGAGAUGGACCCGCGUUCGAUUAGCCAGUUGGCGGGGUAACGGCCCACCAAAGCGACGUUCGAUAGCCGAUCUGAGAGGAUGACCGGCCACAUUGGGACUGAGACACGGCCCAAACUCCUACGGGAGGCAGCAGUGGGGAAUAUUGCACAAUGGGGGAAACCCUGAUGCAGCGACGCCGCGUGAGUGAAGAAGUAUUUCGGUAUGUAAAGCUCUAUCAGCAGGGAAGAAAAUGACGGUACCUGAGUAAGAAGCCCCGGCUAACUACGUG